This 73-nucleotide transfer RNA is filed under the name Salipiger pallidus. Its description in RNAcentral is "tRNA-Ser". The record is from RNAcentral. Lineage: Bacteria; Pseudomonadati; Pseudomonadota; Alphaproteobacteria; Rhodobacterales; Roseobacteraceae.
CGGCCACGAGGGCCGGGCGCGGUGCCUUUGAUCUGGAGGAUCAGAAGCGGUAGUUCAUGCCCACCGUGGUGGU